AUUAUAUCUAACAUGAUUAUAUAUAUUUAUAUAUUUAUAUUAUGUAUUUAUACAUUAUAUAAUUAUAUAAUUGUAUAACAUAUACAAUAUAAUUAUUUAAUUGACCCCUUUGAAAGUCAGUUGCAGAUUCGUGACCCUGUGUUCCUAGAAACUUGUAUCUCCUAGGAACAAGGUCCUUUGUCUUACAUAGUCUGUCGUUCAUGACGUUGACAUUUUUGAGGAGAGCUUACUUGCUGGUUAUUUGGUAGAGUGUCCUUCAGUUUGGGAUGUCUGUUUCCUGAGGUUUAGAUUCAGAUAAGACUAACACAUAUUCCUUUCAGUGCGUCACAUUAGUAAGCACAUUAUGUCAGUUUUUCCUCCUGUUGGUAACUGAUUCUGAUCACAUGGUUAAGGUCGUGGCUGCAAAGGUUUUUCCAUGGUAGUUACCAUUUUCUCUUUGUAACUGAUAACUAAUUUGUGGGGUAUUAUUUAAUCUUGUCUGUCAAUAAACUUUCACCUGGGCCAGGCGCAGUGGCUCAUGCCUGUAAUCCCAGCACUUUGGGAGGCCAAAGUGGGCAGAUCACCUUAGGUCAGGAGUUUGAGACCAUCCUGGCCAACAUGGUGAAACCCCAUCUCUACUAAAAAU
This 625-nucleotide long non-coding RNA is filed under the name Homo sapiens (human). Its description in RNAcentral is "LHRI_LNC864.1". Lineage: Eukaryota; Metazoa; Chordata; Mammalia; Primates; Hominidae. The record is from RNAcentral.